UAUUAAAAUUUCAUUCAUUUGUACUGUUAAAAAUUGGUGUGGUUGAUGGAAUAACCAAAUAGUGAUACAUGGUGUGCCACGUAUCCCUCAUGCUUACAUGGACCAAUUUUUAAUAUUAAAAAUAGAUGGAACUUUUAAUA
Molecule: non-coding RNA, 140 nt
Organism: Gossypium raimondii (Peruvian cotton)
Lineage: Eukaryota; Viridiplantae; Streptophyta; Magnoliopsida; Malvales; Malvaceae
Source: Rfam